UCAGGAUGAACGCUAGCGGCAGGCUUAACACAUGCAAGUCGAGGGGCAUCGCGGGUGGCAACACCUGGCGGCGACCGGCGAACGGGUGAGUAACGCGUGAGCAGCAUGUCCUCAGUCGGGGGAUAAGCGAGGGAAACUUCGUCUAAUACCCCAUAACACUUUCAGGCGCAUGCCUUUAAGUUGAAAGCUUUUUUUGCGACUUUGGUUUGGCUCGCGUGACAUUAGCUAGUCGGUGGGGUAACGGCUCACCGAGGCUACGAUGUCUAGGGGUUCUGAGAGGAAGGCCCCCCACAUUGGGACUGGGACACGGCCCAAACUCCUACGGGAGGCAGCAGUGAGGAAUAUUGGUCAAUGGACGGAAGUCUGAACCAGCCAUGCCGCGUGAAGGAAGACUGCCCUAUGGGUUGUAAACUUCUUUUGCAGCAGAGCAAUAAGGCGUACGCGUACGCCGAUGAGAGUAUGUUGCGAAUAAGCAUCGGCUAACUCCGUGCCAGCAGCCGCGGUAAUACGGAGGAUGCGAGCGUUAUCCGGAUUUAUUGGGUUUAAAGGGUGCGUAGGCUGUUUUGUAAGUCAGCGGUGAAAGACCGGGGCCCAAC
This 596-nucleotide ribosomal RNA is filed under the name uncultured bacterium. RNAcentral's name for it is "bacterial SSU rRNA". It matches the Rfam family "Bacterial small subunit ribosomal RNA", at positions 24 to 613 of the family's 1533-position model. The record is from RNAcentral.